UUAAAGAUCCAUUAAGCUCAAUUAAUCACAAUUAAUCAACCAGAUUUUCACUUAAUUCUCCACUAAUCACAAUUAUAUUCUGUUAAUCAAAACAAAAGUAAAAUGGGGAAUUAGGUUUACGUGAGUUAUGUGUGAUUCAUGGAGUUCACUCAGAGGAAACUUCUUCUCCAUCCUUCAAACAACUCGCGGCGGCCGGUGGCCAUCCUUCCCCCGGUAAAAGCUUCUCCGAUCAAAACCUCCGCCUUGCACUACAUCUCCUUCCUCCUCUCGAUCCUUCCGAUUCAUAUCUUGUAAAUCUCCAAUCGCAAGCUUCCGUCUCAAUCUAACGGAGAAGUCCAGUAUCUCUUUGACGGCGUGAUAACGAUGAAGAGAGAUCUGAGAGGUGCUUCACGCGCUCAGGUGACGAAGAUUGAAGAUUCAGACGCAGCUCUUGAAGAUCUUCUGCCGAUUGACGUCGAAGAAUAGAUGGACGUGAUGUUGUAGCGAUGUUGAACGUGAGAAGGGAGAGUUAUCAGUUCGGUUACGAACUCUCUUCUUCUGUCAAUUUUGCAAGUGGUGAUGAAUAGAUGAUUGGUUUUCUGGUUUUGGUUCUGUGAUUGAAGGUUGAUUUUGUGAUUGUGAUUGGUCAAGGAUCAUUGAGAAAGAUCGAAAGAUUGGAGGUGAUGAUCAGAAUCGGUGGAGAGAGUUUCCGAGGGUGAAUUUCGAUUAGAGAUUGAUGAAGGUUUUCAGAGAGAAUGGAAGAGGAGUUUGUUACGGAUUUUCUUUUCUGAUUCUUUUCUGUUACGUUUUUUGUUCUCAAUUCUGUUAUUGAUUUUCUCCGAUACAUCGAUUCUCUCCUCUGUGAAUUCUGUUCUCCUUUUUCUUGAUUCCCGUCGUUUUCUUUCGUUUAUGCAGGGAACUUGAUAUAAAUUCAGGUGGAGUGAAUCGGCGAAUGCCAUUAGUGAACCGGGGUCUCCUAUAUUUGAAGUGAAGAGCCGUAUUGCUUUUGUUGACUUGAAGAUUGGGACUCUGUGUAUUUUUGUGUACUUAUUAUAAUGGACUUGAUAAACUUGGAGUUUGAUGAAUGAUGAAGGGAUUUGAAAUGAGUAUAUGGAUAAUGUAUGGACUUUGGCUCAUGGACUGAAUUUAUUUUGUAAUGGAUAUGUAUUGAAUAUUUGCUUUGUAAUGGAUAUGUAUUGAAUAUUUGCAAUGACUUUUGAAUUUUAUUAUAAUAGCUUGGAAACUUAAAUGA
This is a long non-coding RNA of Vicia villosa (hairy vetch), 1231 nucleotides long. RefSeq lists it as uncharacterized. The record is from RefSeq and is a predicted model, not a curated record. Lineage: Eukaryota; Viridiplantae; Streptophyta; Magnoliopsida; Fabales; Fabaceae. The transcript is spliced from 2 exons.